GCAUUGAUGUUUCAGUGGUAGAAUUCUCACCUUCCGUGUGGGAGACCCGGGUUCGAUUCCUGGCCAGUGCU
Molecule: transfer RNA, 71 nt
Filed under: Loxodonta africana (African savanna elephant)
Lineage: Eukaryota; Metazoa; Chordata; Mammalia; Proboscidea; Elephantidae
Rfam family: tRNA
About the family: Transfer RNA (tRNA) molecules are approximately 80 nucleotides in length. Their secondary structure includes four short double-helical elements and three loops (D, anti-codon, and T loops).
Source: Rfam by way of RNAcentral